RNAcentral lists this ribosomal RNA (468 nucleotides) under uncultured Sphingobacteriales bacterium. Its description in RNAcentral is "bacterial SSU rRNA". It matches the Rfam family "Bacterial small subunit ribosomal RNA", at positions 915 to 1382 of the family's 1533-position model. The record is from RNAcentral. Lineage: Bacteria; Pseudomonadati; Bacteroidota; Sphingobacteriia; Sphingobacteriales.
AGGGGCCCGCACAAGCGGAGGAACAUGUGGUUUAAUUCGAUGAUUACGCGAGGAACCUUACCUGGGCUUAAAUGUAGAGUGCAUUUUCUAGAGAUAGGAAAUUCCCUUCGGGGCUUUCUACAAGGUGCUGCAUGGUUGUCGUCAGCUCGUGCCGUGAGGUGUCGGGUUAAGUCCCAUAACGAGCGCAACCCUUAUCGUUAGUUGCCAUCUGGUAAAGCAGGGGACUCUAGCGAAACUGCCACCGUAAGGUGAGAGGAAGGUGGGAUGACGUCAAAUCAGCACGGCCCUUAUGUCCAGGGCUACACACGUGUUACAAUGGUCGGUACAGAGGGCAGCUACCUGGUGACAGGAUGCUAAUCUCGAAAACCGGCCUCAGUUCGGAUCGAAGUCUGCAACUCGACUUCGUGAAGCUGGAUUCGCUAGUAAUCGCGCAUCAGCCAUGGCGCGGUGAAUACGUUCCCGGGCCUU